GCGUCUGUAGCUCAGCUGGAUAGAGCAACGGCCUUCUAAGCCGUGGGUCCCGCGUUCGAAUCGCGGCAGUCGCACCA
RNAcentral lists this transfer RNA (77 nucleotides) under Propionispira arboris. RNAcentral describes it as "tRNA_Arg_TCT". It matches the Rfam family "tRNA". From Rfam's summary of the family: Transfer RNA (tRNA) molecules are approximately 80 nucleotides in length. Their secondary structure includes four short double-helical elements and three loops (D, anti-codon, and T loops). The record is from RNAcentral. Lineage: Bacteria; Bacillati; Bacillota; Negativicutes; Selenomonadales; Selenomonadaceae.